This is a long non-coding RNA of Cucumis melo (muskmelon), 3615 nucleotides long. RefSeq lists it as uncharacterized. The transcript has 7 exons. The record is from RefSeq and is a predicted model, not a curated record. Lineage: Eukaryota; Viridiplantae; Streptophyta; Magnoliopsida; Cucurbitales; Cucurbitaceae.
UAAUAUAGUAAAAGUACGAAAAGGAGAAGGAUUUGAUCCACUUCUCAAAUUUUCAUAUUCGUCUUGUAAUUAUUCAUCAGUUCUCAUCUCAUUUCAACUUCCGUCUGGUCUGAAAAUUUUCCGGAAAGGUUUCGACAAUGGGCGAUUCCGGAGAUAUCGACGACAUUGGAGAAGGCCUAUGCGGAUGUACACCGCGAUUGCGGCCAAAGAAUCAGCGGCGUAUUAAUGAUUUCGAAUAUGAAAGGUUUUCGGUUUCGAUUGGAGAGUUUUCACGAAUCAGGAUGAAGCACUUCGGAUGCUUGUUAGACGCCUAACGAAGAAUGAAUAGUAAGGUUAGAGAAACCGAGAUGAAUAACAUUGGGCUCAAAAUUGAAGCAAAAUAUGUAGUGAAGGUCAAGAUAUAGGGUAAGAGAUGCGAGAAGAUCAGGAUAGAUGUGAUAAAGUAACGAACAGGAAAUAAGAAACUAAAUGAGAAAAUUUAGCAAAAAAUAUGGCUACUAAGAUAUGUAUGUCAUUGCGGCCUCAGAACUCUCUUAGUCAUGCUGUCAUGGUGAGUCCACGGUUAUGGUUCUCAUCUGGAACGAACAGCUCGUGACCUGGGAAAUGGACAUGUCAGGCAAGUGCAAGCUUAAAUGAUGUACCAGUGAUAUUGAUUUUUCCUUCAUUAAAAGAAGCACAGAAUUAAAACCUUUUAAAAGUGGCUAUAGAAUCUGUUUAGUGGAAAAGUCAGUUUUCUUGGAGGUUCCUUCCAUGAAAUACAUAGCAGAAGAGAUCAGAAGACCUAAGGGGUACGACCAAACAUGUCUAAAAUUGUGACAUAUUGAAAAGGAUGAAGCAAUACAUACACCAGCUGCUAAGAAGAAUUCUGACAUAUUGAAAAGAUGCAAUCAAAGGUAGCAGUAUUAAAUGUCAGUUUCCAGAAAUGGAAAAAGUUACAAGAAAGAAAAUGGUUCUCCAAACUCCAACCAGGAGACCAUUGAGAUACAUCAUGACCUGUUCAUCAUUGCUCUGGAAUUCCAUUUGUAGACAGCACUUAACUAAUCGGAAACAAUUUAUCAAUCACAAAUGAUUGUGUACUCUCAAAAACAUUUUUCAAAGUUCUAUCUGAAAAGGAUGAGGUGUUUACAGCACAUGCACAAAUGCUGAAAGUGAUAUAGGAGUCUGGUGAAACCUUUUGGAAUGUAUGCAUCUAACCAUAUCAACCAACAAUGUUGUUGAGCCGUUAAAAGGUGGUUAACUAAGUUUGACAAGACUGCUUCUGAUUUGAAUGAUGACUCCCACAUGCAACUUAUAAAUAUUUACGUUCUUAAGCCACAAUUUGUAGAAAGCACAAGGACUUGCCAAAUAACUCAGACUGUAAUUCAUCUUGUAAUGAGAUCAUUCAAAGAGGAAGAUGGGGAACAAAGGAAUUGAAGCUUCGUGGUUGAAUUCUCAAGAUGUUGGCAAGCAGCACAUUUUGUGCAUGAGAUUAUCAUGAUCCGUCAUCAUAUUGAGCAAUCAAUUAGCUGGAUAAAGUCAGCAAGGUGAGGAGACUCCAAAGUUGGAUUUUGCUGAAUUAGAAACAUGUAACAUUUGGGAAUCACGAAACAUUUUCAGAUUUGACACCUUUAUGCAAGGAGAGGAAGAUACGAGUGCAAGAUUAACAGGCUAAAGUAAGCAUCUUUUCCCCGUUUGACGGCAAAGUUAGUGGCAGACCACAAGGCCUUCAAAAUAUUGUCCGUAGAGCAUGCCUCUGCAAUGCCUUGUUAUCUUUUAUUUCAUGGAUCAUUGCUGCUCUAUUCAUACACAAAUGGUGGUAAGUAGUUUUUACCUUUAAUCAUGGCGUUAUUGAACCCUUACUUUUUUACUUUUUCGCAUUUCAUUUUUAACCCUGACCGCCAAUAGAUGAGUUAGAGAAGGUUAAAUUGUAAAUUUAGUUUAUAUGUACGGACACAAAUAGAAUUUAGUCUACAUAAUUUGAUAAAACAUUUAUAAGUAGUCCUUACGAUGGAGAUUAUUUAUGAAGUUUUAUCACACCAUAGAAGGGACACAUCUUAUACCAACGAGAUAGAAUAUAUAGGUGCCAAUUGAGGAUGAGGAGAUUUGAACCGAAAAUCUCUUUUUCGGUACACAAGUGUCAAAUGAACUAAAGCUCUUGUUGGUAGAUCUCUUACCUCUUGAUCAAAUACAUAUGGUUUAACUAAUUAAACAAUUUUGAUCGAAAACUUUCUUUUAGUUGGUUGUACCUAAUUUUUCGUUUUAAAAAAAUUAUUUAUUGUUUUGUUUUAUUUUUAUUUGUUUGUUUGAUUUUAUUUUUCCUUAGAAACUAGAAUAGUUAGCCAUAUUGAAUUAUAAGUGUAAUGUGAAAUUUUGAUUGAUCGGUAGAUACUUUCUUAAAUUGAAUAAUUCAACUUGAACAUGAAGAAACAAUAUAAUUUUCCCGAAAUGUUAUGGAUCUGAAAAUGCUGCUCAUGUGGCUGAGCUGUAGGAUAUAAAUUUGAGUGUUGUUUUUUUUUCUUUUUUUUUUUUUUUUAAAAAAAAAGCUGGAAAUUGAAGCAUUAGUUUCUUGUUUGGUUUGUUUCUUCAAUAUAAAUUACUCAUAACAUACGUAUCAACUAGAGGGGGUGGGGCCUUAUCCCCAUGCAACUGUCUUCCUUUUGUUUAAUUCCUUUUCCUUUAAGAAAAUAUAUUAUAUUGCUUAUCAUCAUCAUCAUCAACCAUUUUUUUUUUCUUUUUUAACUUUUCAUAAAUUGGGAGCAUUGCGUAUUAUGAUGAACAGCAUCGUAUGGUAUACGAGAAAAGGAAAGAAACAAAAUGAUGAUUGGAGCUGUGAGGAGAAAUGGCCAAUGGAUUAACCAUAAAGCCACCCCGUCGCUGGAUGUGAAACCUAUGAUUCUCCAGAUUCAUUGAUCCAACAUCUACAUUGGUUCCAUGGCGAUCGCCUGAUCUGCUGCGGAUUGGAGCCAAUGGAGUUGCACGAAUGGGAGUUGAGAACUUUGAGGUUGAGUGUCUGCUUUCUGCUCUCUUCCAGAACCUUGAGCUCAAAAAAUCAGCUCCUGGUAGUAGGCAACAAGUGGUUGUGGGAGUAUUACCAUAAGACAUCCUUCCACUUGAUACAGCUAGAUCAUAUGAGAUCUCAUCCAAUGCCAGUUCGAGACCAUGUACACGCGUCUCCAAGGAUCGCAUUCCGUUCUGGGAACUCCCAAUGAAGUUCUAAAAAUGGUAGAUAAGGCAAAACACAAGUGAGAUUGAUAGCACUUAAUAACUGUAUUGCAAUGAGUGGUCACUAGACUGCACAUUGCAGAGAAUCCCAAUGUAAUUCUGAAGUUGGACAGUAGUUUGUAUUCGAUGAGAAACGUACUUUUUGGGAGAAAACGAUAGAGAAGUUAUAAAUGGCAUGAACAUGUGUAUACUUCAAAAAUCAUAUUCGAACAAUGGAUGGGAUAUCAAAUUUGAUCUUUAAGGAAGAAAACCAUGUUAAUUCCGUUGGGCUAAACAUACUUUGGUAAUGUACGAUGAAGAUUUCAUUUUGUUCAUACAAUGUCCCUGGAAUAUUUCGUUUAUGGAUUCAAUAUUCUAUGUGCUUGUCGUCUAUUGUUCUAUCUACAUUGUACAAGUACUUAUAUAUUUCCUGUA